AUUGGAGGGCAAGUCUGGUGCCAGCAGCCGCGGUAAUUCCAGCUCCAAUAGCGUAUAUUAACGUUGUUGCAGUUAAAAAGCUCGUAGUUGAAAUGAAGGGUAGUUGUGUAAUGAAUACAUUCGUGUAUUUUGUUAUUCUACUACCCUCCUUCUAAAUUCGAUAUAUGAGUAUUAAUUUACUUGUAUAUGGUUUUAGACCUUUACUGUGAGAAAAUUAGAGUGUUCAAAGCAGGCAUUUGCUUGAAUAUAUUAGCAUGGAAUAAUCAUGUAUGAUUUUCAUGAUGUAUUUGAUUGGUUUGGUUCAUGAGAAUAAGAUUAAAAGGGACAGUUGGGGGUAUUCAUAUUCAAUAGUCAGAGGUGAAAUUCUCGGAUUUAUGGAAGAUGAACAAGUGCGAAAGCA
This 400-nucleotide ribosomal RNA is filed under the name Blastocystis hominis. RNAcentral's name for it is "bacterial SSU rRNA". It matches the Rfam family "Eukaryotic small subunit ribosomal RNA", at positions 547 to 953 of the family's 1831-position model. The record is from RNAcentral. Lineage: Eukaryota; Bigyra; Opalinata; Blastocystidae.